AUUGAAAUCGUAAAGAAACAUGGAUUUCAGGCGUAUCUUCACAAAAUAUUUUGAUUCGGUUCCAUGAACCGUUGAGGUCAAAAAAUACAUUAGGUUCCUCUUUCCUUUUCAGUCUUAUUUCUAACAGUGUCUCACGACGGUUGGUCUCGGAGAAAACUCCCCAAAGACGAUUUGUGUGUGCGCCCAUCUCUACACAUAAAGUGUUAAAUUGUCACAGUUUUAGUUUCAAUGUGAAAGAACUCUGGCAUUGUGGCAAUGGUAUGAAAAUAACUUGGUCGAGUGCACGAGGGAAGUUGGCUUAA
RNAcentral lists this long non-coding RNA (302 nucleotides) under Bemisia tabaci. RNAcentral's name for it is "lncRNA ENSSSA1NGG010961". Lineage: Eukaryota; Metazoa; Arthropoda; Insecta; Hemiptera; Aleyrodidae. The record is from RNAcentral.